CCGCCGUGGCGGACGGCUGGUGAAGUUUUCGUCUCUUGCUGGUGUUUGUGGUGGCCCAUUGAGUGCUGUCAUCCGACAAUACACUCAUGAUCUGCGGCUAAAAGGCACUCGGAUCUGUGUUCGGUGUCGACUAGCAGUGGCGCACUUCUACGUGCGUGUUUUGAAGUGAAGUGUAGCGGCUUCAAACCGAAGUGUUGUGUGCGAAAGGUCAUCCUCGUUUCCUCGUCGAAAAAUUCGCCUGGCUUUUAACAGGUGGCGGCUGUAUUAGAUUCACCUUCAUGCGGAUACACGUCUUCACGUCACCGUCACCAGCGUCACAUGGUGAACUGGAUGUCCGUCUUAGCUGCGUGCUAUAACGUUGGUAAGUUCAGCUGCGCUAGCUCAACUGUGCCGGCUGGAUGUGUUCAACCGCGUUUGCAUUAUUUGACACUACCUCAUGAGAAAGUUCUAGCUGGCAAGAUGCAUUUAUGGUCUUAGAAAUUGUUCUUUUUCGCAUCCCCUUCAACCAAUCCACAUUCUGCAUUAAAAUGCUUAAAUCUUUUUGUAACAUUGGGAAGUAGUAAUUAGAUUUGUACGCGCAAUUAUAAUAAAACAAUGUAUUUAAAAAAUGUAAGUUGUGAUUUCAGUAGGGGAGGGGAAAGUGUCUUUGAAAAAAGCUGGCGAUUGUAAUUGAUAAUAACCUAAAAUGUGUUAAUGGAAAUCAUGUCUAUCUUAAGCGAGCAUCUCACGUGGUUAAAAUUUAC
Rhipicephalus microplus (southern cattle tick) is the source of this 743-nucleotide long non-coding RNA. The record is from RefSeq and is a predicted model, not a curated record. NCBI's taxonomy places the organism in Eukaryota, Metazoa, Arthropoda, Arachnida, Ixodida, Ixodidae.